GGCGAAGGUGAGAACUUAAGCGCCGGUAAACGGCGGUGGUAACUAUAACCAUCCUAAGGUAGCGAAAUUCCUUGUCGGGUAAGUUCCGACCUGCACGAAUGGCGUAACGACUUCCCCGCUGUCUCAACCACAGGCCCGGUGAAAUUGCAGUACGAGUAAAGAUGCUCGUUUCGCGCAGCAGGACGGAAAGACCCCGGGACCUUCACUACAGCUUGACAUUGGCGUUUGGAGCGUCUUGUGUAGGAUAGGUGGGAGACUGGGAAGCUGCGACGCUAGUCGUGGUGGAGUCAUUGGUGAAAUACCACUCUGGUCGUUUUGGACGUCUAACCCGCGCCCGUGUAUCCGGGUGGGGGACAGUGUCUGGUGGGUAGUUUAACUGGGGCGGUUGCCUCCUAAAAGGUAACGGAGGCGCCCAAAGGUUCCCUCAGCCUGGUUGGCAAUCAGGUGUCGAGUGUAAGUGCACAAGGGAGCUUGACUGUGAGACUGACGGGUCGAGCAGGAGCGAAAGCUGGGACUAGUGAUCCGGCAUCGGCGUGUGGAAGCGGUGUCGCUCAACGGCUAAAAGGUACCCCGGGGAUAACAGGCUGAUCUUCCCCAAGAGUCCAUAUCGACGGGAUGGUUUGGCACCUCGAUGUCGGCUCGUCGCAUCCUGGGGCUGGAGUAGGUCCCAAGGGUUGGGCUGUUCGCCCAUUAAAGCGGUACGCGAGCUGGGUUUAGAACGUCGCGAGACAGUUCGGUCCCUAUCCGCUGCGCGCGCAGGAGACUUGCGAGGGGCUGUCCCUAGUACGAGAGGACCGGGACGGACGAACCUCUGGUGUGCCAGUUGUUCCGCCAGGAGCACGGCUGGUUGGCUACGUUCGGUAGGGAUAACCGCUGAAAGCAUCUAAGCGGGAAGCUCGCCUCAAGAUGAGGUCUCCCACCACCUUGUGUGGGUAAGGCCCCCUAGAGAUGAUGGGGUUGAUAGGCCGGAAGUGGAAGCGCAGUAAUGUGUGGAGCUGACCGGUACUAAUAGGCCGAGGACUUGACCAU
RNAcentral lists this non-coding RNA (1029 nucleotides) under Microbispora rosea. RNAcentral's name for it is "bacterial LSU rRNA". It matches the Rfam family "Bacterial large subunit ribosomal RNA", at positions 1898 to 2925 of the family's 2925-position model. Lineage: Bacteria; Bacillati; Actinomycetota; Actinomycetes; Streptosporangiales; Streptosporangiaceae. The record is from RNAcentral.